GUAUAAUGCCAACCAUAGCCUCCAUUAUCACACUAUUUUGUUUGGUAUUUUACCAAACAAAAUGGUGUGAUAAUGAAGGCUAUGGUUGGCAUUAUUGC
This 98-nucleotide microRNA precursor is filed under the name Populus trichocarpa (black cottonwood). RNAcentral describes it as "miR6422 stem-loop (ptc-MIR6422)". The record is from miRBase by way of RNAcentral. Lineage: Eukaryota; Viridiplantae; Streptophyta; Magnoliopsida; Malpighiales; Salicaceae.